UGCAGUGAUGACUCCUUAGACUAGAGUCUCUGAUGACAUUAUGAUGUUAUUCACAUUUAUCUGAGCA
Molecule: small nucleolar RNA, 67 nt
Organism: Triplophysa dalaica
Lineage: Eukaryota; Metazoa; Chordata; Actinopteri; Cypriniformes; Nemacheilidae
Product: small nucleolar RNA SNORD52
Exons: 1
Source: RefSeq, a predicted model, not a curated record